RNAcentral lists this ribosomal RNA (1122 nucleotides) under Triticum aestivum (bread wheat). RNAcentral's name for it is "partial small subunit ribosomal RNA". Lineage: Eukaryota; Viridiplantae; Streptophyta; Magnoliopsida; Poales; Poaceae. The record is from RNAcentral.
AUGGAGAGCUCGCCGCCCACAAUCACCGUCCAGGUGAAGUUCGCCGGCCGAACCAUUCCGGUGGAACUCCCGACAUCCGCCUCCACCGCGGAGCUGAAGCUCCUCCUACAGCCGCUAACCAACGUUCUCCCCCGCGGCCAGAAACUCAUCUGCAAAGGAAAAGUUCUUGCCGACGCCGCGAGUCUGAGCUCGAUGCAGGUGGGGGACGGAUCCAAGGUCAUGCUCAUCGCUUCGCAGGGUCUUCAUCAAGGGGAAGGCCCCAUCACUAAGAAUAGCAGUGGUCUUGCACCAAGUGCAAAAAGAACCUCAAAUGUUAAGGAUAAUCAAACACUAAAACCGGAGAUUAUCAGCAAAAGCCGAGCGGAGCGUUGGAAAAUAACAGGUGUCAUUGCUUUAUCUGGUUCCAGCUUGAAGGCUGUGCCUGAGGAAGUCUGGGACUGUGGCUCCUCCAUACGAGUACUAGAUGUCUGUAACAACUCAAUUGAAGCAAUUCCACAGAAAAUUGCUGCAGUUAAAUCAUUAAAUAAAUUGUUGCUAACCGCCAAUGACAUAUCUGAUGGGGGCAUCAGCUGGGAAGGUCUAUCAUGUGUUGAUACAUUAACAGUUUUAUCUUUAAGCCAAAAUCGAUUGGUCACUUUACCUCCGAGUUUGGGCACAUUGACUUUUCUACGUGAACUUCGCAUUGCAAAUAACAUGCUUGGCAGCCUACCUGUUGAAAUAGGUUUGCUGAAGCAGCUAGAGAUUCUUAUAGCAAAUAAUAAUAGGAUAACUUCGCUGCCUUCCUCUAUAGGCGACUGUGAAUCUCUCUUCGAGGUGGACUUAUCAUCGAAUCUUUUAGCCGAACUACCAAAGGCUUGCGGAAACCUUCACAAUCUGAAGGCUCUGCAUCUAAGGAACAAUGGUCUUAAUUCCCUACCGCCGACUUUAUUCAAGAAGUGCUGGCGGCUUACUACACUUGAUCUCCAUGGCACUGGAAUUACAAAUGACAUUCUUCGACAGCUGGAGGGCUGGGAGGAGUUUGAUGAACGUAGGCGGCAGAAGUAUCAAAAGCAGCUGGAUUUUCAUGUAGGAUCAUCAGGUGUUUUCGACGAGGGUGCGGAUGAUGAUAACCGGCAUGCAUAA